CAGUCGCCGCGGGAAUACGAGGGGGGCAAGCGUUGUUCGGAAUUAUUGGGCGUAAAGGGCGCGUAGGCGGUUUGGCAAGUUUGGUGUGAAAUUCCCGGGCUCAACCUGGGGGCUGCGUUUGAUACUUGGUUGCUUGAGUGGGGAAGAGGGUCGUGGAAUUCCCAGUGUAGAGGUGAAAUUCGUAGAUAUUGGGAAGAACACCGGUGGCGAAGGCGGCAACCUGGUCCUUGACUGACGCUGAGGCGCGAAAGCGUGGGGAGCAAACAGGAUUAGAUACCCCUGUAGUCCCUGUCUCUUAUAC
RNAcentral lists this ribosomal RNA (301 nucleotides) under uncultured bacterium. RNAcentral describes it as "partial 16S ribosomal RNA". It matches the Rfam family "Bacterial small subunit ribosomal RNA", at positions 509 to 807 of the family's 1533-position model. The record is from RNAcentral.